UACGUAUGUUCCAAGCGUUAUCCGGAUUUAUUGGGCGUAAAGCGAGCGCAGACGGUUGUUUAAGUCCGAAGUGAAAGCCCACAGCUUAACUGUGGAAGUGCUUUGGAAACUGGAUAACUUGAGUGCAGUAGAGGAGAGUGGAACUCCAUGUGUAGCGGUGAAAUGCGUAGAUAUAUGGAAGAACACCAGUGGCGAAGGCGGCUCUCUGGACUGUAACUGACGUUGAGGCUCGAAAGUGUGGGUAGCAAACAGG
RNAcentral lists this ribosomal RNA (253 nucleotides) under Weissella ceti. Its description in RNAcentral is "partial 16S ribosomal RNA". It matches the Rfam family "Bacterial small subunit ribosomal RNA", at positions 524 to 776 of the family's 1533-position model. Lineage: Bacteria; Bacillati; Bacillota; Bacilli; Lactobacillales; Lactobacillaceae. The record is from RNAcentral.